AUGGGACUUUUUUUCUCUUUUUAUUAUUGAUUUUUUGUACAAAUAUUUGCCAUGUCAGUAUAUUCAUAUCCAUUUUUCAAUUUUUAAAAAAAGGUUGUGCACUUACAAUUAAAAGCACAGUUGGAAAAUGUUACAGAAAUUGUUUUUCCUCCGGAUUAUAGAUACCAUUUAAAAGUUCGCUGCCGUUGUGGGGAAAUAUAUAAUAAGUGGAUUUAUGUCUGUGCUACGGAAUUUUGCGAGAUUCCCGAAAGUAGGGGGGCUGCUAAUCUAGUGAUGAAGUGCAAAUUUUGUUCCUCAAAUAACUCGAUUAGUGUUGUGCAAGGUUCUAUUCGUGCCUAUCUUUAUGAAGAUUCUGAGUCAUGGAAAACCAUUAUUUCCUUUAAUACUAGAGGGUGGACCCCUCAAGAUUUUGAGUAUAGAUCUGGAUUUUCCUGUAGAGCCCUCAGCUCUGCCACGACUUUUGAUGAAGUUGAACUCACUGAAGGAGAUUUUACCGAGUAUGACGAGGCGGGAAAAGCACCACUUUCUAUAUUAAAUGUUC
This is a long non-coding RNA of Zophobas morio, 541 nucleotides long. RefSeq lists it as uncharacterized. The transcript has 6 exons. The record is from RefSeq and is a predicted model, not a curated record. NCBI's taxonomy places the organism in Eukaryota, Metazoa, Arthropoda, Insecta, Coleoptera, Tenebrionidae.